RNAcentral lists this transfer RNA (79 nucleotides) under Streptomyces olivaceoviridis. RNAcentral's name for it is "tRNA-Gln". The record is from RNAcentral. Lineage: Bacteria; Bacillati; Actinomycetota; Actinomycetes; Kitasatosporales; Streptomycetaceae.
CGGCCCGGUGGACCGCGGCGGCCAGAGCCGUCCUGAGCGGCUCCGGCGGGGCCGGGCCGUUCGGCGCCGCGCUCGCCGU